UAGUUAAAAUGAAAACUCGGUUCUAAUGGGGAACAGCCAUUAGAGGUAACGGGGAAAGUCCGGUGCAAACCCGGCGCUGUCCCGCAACUGUGAUGAGAGUUUUGGCUCUCUUAGUCAGGAUGCCCGCCGAACGCAACACCGCGUC
This 145-nucleotide non-coding RNA is filed under the name Desertifilum tharense IPPAS B-1220. RNAcentral also lists the same sequence under 1 other name. The record is from RNAcentral. Lineage: Bacteria; Bacillati; Cyanobacteriota; Cyanophyceae; Desertifilales; Desertifilaceae.